UCAAAUUUGUUUCCACUUUAACUGUCUUUUAUCCUGACAGAAGCGUUUAACAUGGACAACACAGCAGAAAUUAUACAAGCCAUCUUUGUCGGCCUCAUAGUUGCUGACUUUCUUCUCAACACCAAUCGAGUUCUUAAAAGUAUCGAAAUACGCAGGGAAUGCUUGGUCAUCUGGAAAGACAAAGCGGGCAUCAAAGACCAUAAUUUAGCCAAAUUAGUGUUCAAGGGGAUUUACUCGACAAUGUUGGACGCUUAUAUUAUCAUUAAUGACGACAUAAAUGCCAUAGAAUACGCAGCAAAAUGUCUCCAGAUAUGCCGUGAAAGUGGAGAAAGACCCGACAAAUUCGAAUGUAUGAUCAGCUUUAAACUAGCGAAAAUGUAUCUCCGUCUAUGUAAAUACGUACAAGCAAGAGAAGUCUUUGAAAAAACGCUUCUAGCCAGUACAGAAAUCGGUGAGAGAAUAUGGGAAGCCUCCUGUUACGAAAACCUCGGAGUUGUGUAUCAAUUAGUUGGUGAAUAUGACAAGGCUAAGGGCCAUCUUGAGAAAUCACUUGCAAUCAACAAAGAAAUUGGUAACAGAAAUGGAGAAGCCGUCUGUUACGGAAACCUCGGAGCUGUGUAUCAAUUAGUUGGUGAAUACAACAAGGCUAAAGAAUAUCUCGAGAAAUCACUUGCGAUCAACAAAGAAAUUAGUGACAGAAAUGGAGAGGCCCGCUGUUACGGAAACCUUGGAGCUGUCUAUCAAUUAGUUGGUCAAUACAGCAAGGCUAAAGGACAUCUCGAGAAAUCACUUGCGAUGCAAAAAGAAAUUGGUGACAGAAAUGGAGAAGCCUCUUCCUAUGCACACCUUGGAGCGGUGUAUCAUUCAGUUGGCGAAUAUGACAAGGCUGGAGACCACGUCCAGAAAUCACUCGCAAUUAACAAAGAAAUUGGUAACAGAAAUGGAGAAGCCUCCUGUUACGGAAACCUUGGAGCUGUGUAUCACUCCGUUGGCGAAUACGAAAAGGCCAGAGAACAUAUUAAAAAAUCACUUGUAGUCCAAAAAGAAAUUGGUGACCGAAGAGAAACCGCUUCAUGUUAUGGAAAACUUGGAACUGUGUAUCAAUCAGUAGGCGAAUAUGACAAGGCUAGAGAACUUCUUGAGAAAUCACUUGCAAUCCGAAAAGAAAUUAGAGACAGAAAUGGAGAAGCUGCCUGCUACCAAAACCUUGGAAGCGUGUAUCGAUCACUCGCCAAAUAUGACAAGGCUAGAGAACACCUAGAGAAUUCACUGGCGAUCCAAAAGGAAAUUGGUGACAGAAGAGGAGAAGCCACUUGCUACGCAAUCCUUGGAGCUGUGUAUAAAUCAGUUGACGAAUAUGCCAAGGCUAGAGAAAACCUCGAGAAGUCACUUGCUAUUUACAAGAAAAUUGGUGACAGAGCUGGAGAAGCCUCCUGUUACGGAAACCUUGGAAUGGUGUAUGACUCAGUAAGCGAAUAUCAAAAGGCUAAAACACAUUUAGGGAAGUCAUUUGCAAUUUUCAAAGAAGUUGGUGACAGAGUAGGGGAAGCUUUCUGCAACGCAAACCUUGGUGUUUUUUAUCACUCAGUCCACGAAUAUAGCAAGGCUAGAGAACAUCUCGAGAAAUCGCUUGCUUUCAGCAAAGAAGUUGGUGGCAAACCUGAAGAAGCCUCCUGCUACGGAAACCUUGGAGCUGUGUAUCGAUCGGUCGGCGAAUACAGCAAGGCUAAAGAACAUCUUGAGAAAUCACUUGGAAUCGCAAAAAAAAUUGGUAGCAGAAGUGGAGAAGCCUUCUGUUAUGGAAACCUUGGAGCUUUCUAUCAAUCAGUUGGCGAUUACGACAAGGCUAGUGAACAUCUCAAGAAAUCGCUUGCAAUCCGGAAAGAGAUUGGUGACCGAAAUGGAGAAGCCUGUUGUUACGAAAGCCUUGGAGCUAUGUAUCAAACUGUUGGCGAAUAUGAAAAGGCUAGAGAGCAUAUUCAAAAAUCGCUUGUUAUCAAGAAAGAAAUUGGUAACAGAAACGGAGAAGCCAUCUGUUACAAAAACCUUGGAGCUGUGUAUGAAUCAGUUGGCGAGUAUAAGAAGGCGAAAGAACAUCUCGAGAAAUCACUCGCAAUGGUGAUAGAAAUUGGUGACAGAAAAGGAGAAACCUCCUGCUACCAAAAUCUUGCAGCUGUGUGUCAUUCAGUCGGCGAAUAUAGCAUGGCCAGAGAACAUCUGGAGAAAUCGCUUGCGAUCAGUAAAGAAAUUGGUAACAGAAAAGAAGAAGCCUCCUGUUACGUCAAGUUUGCUGCAGUGUAUCAAUCAGUUGGCGAAUAUUACAAGGCUAUAAAACAUCUUGAGACUUCACUUGCUAUCAACAAAGAAAUUGGGGACAGAAUAGGAGAAUGCGAGUGCUAUGGAAACCUUGGAACUGUGUAUGAAUCAGUUGGCAAAUAUGACGAGGCUAGAGAAUAUCUUGAGAAAUCACUUGCGAUCUUCAAAGAGAUCGGUGACAGGAGAGGGGAAGCCUCCUGUUACGGAAUGCUUGGAGCAGUAUAUCAGUCAGUUGGUGAAUAUGAGAAAGCUGAAAUUUUUUUCAAGAAACUAUUGGCGAUUACGAGAAAAAUUUGCGACAGACCUGGAGAAGCUUUUUCUUGCCAACGACUUGGAGCUUUCUAUUUUUCUGUUGGUAAAUAUGAUGAGGCUAAUCAAUAUAAUCAAGAAGGAUUUGUCAUUACAAGAGAAAUUGGAGCCAGACGAGAGGAAGCCUUUCUCCACGGCGUCCAAGGAGCUGUCUUUUCAUCAAUUGGUGACUUUAUCAAGGAUGAAGAACAUCUCAAGGCAGCACUUGCAAUCAGUAAAGAAAUUGGAGACCGAAGUGGAGAAGCACAACUUUGUUUAGACUUAGGAAAUGUGCUAUUGAAACAUGGUGAGUGUGCUCGGGCUGAAGAAUAUAUUAAGAAUGCGCUUGCAAUAAGUGAGAAUAUUGGACAUGUUAAGACCCAGUUUCGAUCGCUGCAGUCUCUGGCAUACGUACGAAUGCAAGCAAGAAAGAUCCAGGAGUCUAUUACGUACUUCCUUGCCGGUAUUGAAAAAUGCGAGGAAAUGCGGGGCUCCCUACGAGACAACGAUGAAUUCAAAUUAUCGUUUUCGGAUCGCUAUAUCUGUUCCUACCAGGAUCUCUGCUCAUUGCUUUGUGAAACCGGAAAUUCCAAUGCAGCUUUGUAUGUUUCAGAGCUGAAGAAGGCCAGGGCUUUAGCAGAUUUGAUGUCAGUUCAGUACUCUGUCAAGAAUCAAGUCACCGCUAAUCCGAAAACAUGGGCUGAUAUUGAAAGCAUCAUGGACAAAGAACGUAAUUCUUCUUGUCUAUAUCUCUGUUAUUCUCGGGACAGCAUAUACUUCUGGGUUCUUAAAGCAAGCCGAAUCAAGCAUUUCCGAACGAUCAAAGGAAAUGAAAUUAUUGCUCAAGAAGGAUUUUGUCAAACUUUGGAUGACUUAUUUGCAAGCGAAAGUUUUAGAAGUUUUGGCAUUGUACCAGAAGCACUAUGCGAAGACCGAUCUUUAGAUGUCAUACAAGAGAAAUGCAAUUCAUGCGAGGAUGAAAACCAUGAAGCUUUGCGAAUUGGAAAUGAAAGUAAAAAUAACAAAGGACCCAAAAUGAAUCUUCCUUUGUGUUACAAACUAAUCUUCGCCCCUGUGGCCGACUUGCUCGAGGGCCCUGAAAUCAUCAUUGUUCCUGAUCGUUCUUUAUACAACAUUCCAUUUGUCGCGUUACCUAAUGAAAGCGGAAAGGUCUUAUCUGAGACUUUCAAGAUCCGCGUCGCUCCUUCUUUAACAACUCUCAGGCUCAUCCAUGACAGUCCAGCAGAAUAUCACAGUCAGACCGGUGUACUGAUAGUCGGAAAUCCUGAAGUUGGCAAGGUUCUUUUCAAAGGAUGUCUCACGGUCAUUUCGCGUUUGCCUUAUGCAGAAGAGGAAGCGAAGAUGGUAGGAAAAAAGCUGGGUGUAGAACCCUUGCUAGGAAAGCAGGCCACUAAGCAGGCAGUACUUCAAGCGAUGAAUUCAGUGGGUCUGAUACACUUUGCUGCUCACGGUGAUGCAGAGAGAGGCGAAAUUGCUCUUGCACCGUCAUUUCCCAAGAAGAAACCUCGAGAAGAAGACUACUUAUUGACAAUGUCCGACAUUUCUAAAGUUCAUCUUCGAGCUAAACUCGUAGUCCUAAGCUGCUGCCACAGUGCACGAGGUCGGAUUAAAGCCGAGGGAGCAGUCGGAAUUGCUCGAGCAUUUUUAGGCUCUGGUGCACGUUCAGUGUUGGUGUCACUGUGGGCCAUAGAAGACAGCGCAACAGAGCAGUUAAUGAGUCAUUUCUACGAUCACCUUGUUCGCGGGGAAAGCGCUAGUUACUGUCUUCACCAGGCCAUGGAAUGGAUGAGAUGUAACGGCUACUGUGACGUGAAGCAGUGGGCGCCUUUUGUACUGAUUGGAGAUAACGUGACAUUUGAUUUUGGAAAGUAAGCGAAAUCUAAGAUGGCGGAUCCAAGAAGAUGAGUCAAAUGAGGUCAUUUAGCAUCAUAUGAAGUCGUAAACAACAAGAAUGGUAUCAUCUGGUAGAGCAAGCUCAUGGCCAUCUAAUCAAUCUGUUUUUCGUGGACAGACUGAUCAUCAGAGACAAGAGAAAAGGGUAAAAAAGCAAACCUUCAAGUGACAGAGCCAGUGCUGUGUUGUAAAAAGUAACAUAACUCGACAAUAAUAUAGACAAGGAACUCAGUUUCGAUAAUGAUAUAGCUACUAUCUGCAAGAAGAUGAACAAUCAGUUCAAUGUUAUGUUAAGACUGCAUAAACUUCCCUAAACUUAUUUCCGGUAAAACUAUGUUGAAACUCUACAAGACCGUCAUCUUACCACAAUUUUACCACUGCUUUAGAUUUUGGCAUUACUGCAACCACGUAAUACUGAAAAGUUAAAGGCUCUGAAUAAACGCAUACUUAGGUUUAUCCUUAGUUAUUACAGCUCCUCUUAUGACCAGUUCCUUGAAAAAGUUAACCUCACUUCGUUAAGUGACAGACGUUUCCACAAUAUGCUGAUUUUACUAUAUAAAAGACUGUUUAUGUCAGAUUAUCAGAAUUACAUGAGAUACAUGUUUCUCUUCGCUCUGUAAACUACAAACUACGGG
Molecule: unclassified non-coding RNA, 5153 nt
Organism: Orbicella faveolata
Lineage: Eukaryota; Metazoa; Cnidaria; Anthozoa; Scleractinia; Merulinidae
Source: RefSeq, a predicted model, not a curated record